This 526-nucleotide ribosomal RNA is filed under the name uncultured bacterium. Its description in RNAcentral is "bacterial SSU rRNA". It matches the Rfam family "Bacterial small subunit ribosomal RNA", at positions 981 to 1509 of the family's 1533-position model. The record is from RNAcentral.
UUGACAUCCAGAGAACUUGGCAGAGAUGCCUCGGUGCCUUCGGGAACUCUGAGACAGGUGCUGCAUGGCUGUCGUCAGCUCGUGUUGUGAAAUGUUGGUUAAGUCCGCAACGAGCGCAACCCCUAUCCUUUGUUGCCAGCGAUUCGGUCGGGAACUCAAAGGAGACUGCCGGUGAUAAACCGGAGGAAGGUGGGGAUGACGUCAAGUCAUCAUGGCCCUUACGAGUAGGGCUACACACGUGCUACAAUGGCGUAUACAAAGAGAAGCGACCUCGCGAGAGCAAGCGGACCUCAUAAAGUACGUCGUAGUCCGGAUUGGAGUCUGCAACUCGACUCCAUGAAGUCGGAAUCGCUAGUAAUCGUAGAUCAGAAUGCUACGGUGAAUACGUUCCCGGGCCUUGUACACACCGCCCGUCACACCAUGGGAGUGGGUUGCAAAAGAAGUAGAUAGCUUAACCUUCGGGAGGGCGUUUACCACUUUGUGAUUCAUGACUGGGGUGAAGUCGUAACAAGGUAAGCGUAGCGAG